This is a long non-coding RNA of Scomber japonicus (chub mackerel), 194 nucleotides long. RefSeq lists it as uncharacterized. The transcript has 3 exons. The record is from RefSeq and is a predicted model, not a curated record. NCBI's taxonomy places the organism in Eukaryota, Metazoa, Chordata, Actinopteri, Scombriformes, Scombridae.
CAGGCAACAGAGAGGAGACGAAUUGUCGAGGCAGUGGCAGGAGUCGUGUGAUUCUGCCCAGAGCUUGCAGGAGCCUGAGAGCCUGGACCAUCCUAGAGUGCAUUACAUAUGGGGUCCUUUACAAUCUUAAAGAUCUGUCAUGCUUCCCUGUAACAUCAUCUUGGUCCAAUCAUAAACAAGAUUCAAAAGUGAAC